GAUGAACGCUGGCGGCGUGCCUAAUACAUGCAAGUCGAGCGAACAGACGAGGAGCUUGCUCCUCUGACGUUAGCGGCGGACGGGUGAGUAACACGUGGAUAACCUACCUAUAAGACUGGGAUAACUUCGGGAAACCGGAGCUAAUACCGGAUAAUAUAUUGAACCGCAUGGUUCAAUAGUGAAAGACGGUUUUGCUGUCACUUAUAGAUGGAUCCGCGCCGCAUUAGCUAGUUGGUAAGGUAACGGCUUACCAAGGCAACGAUGCGUAGCCGACCUGAGAGGGUGAUCGGCCACCCUGGAACUGAGACACGGUCCCGACUCCUACGGGAGGCAGCAGUAGGGAAUCUUCCGCAAUGGGCGAAAGCCUGACGGAGCAACGCCGCGUGAGUGAUGAAGGUCUUCGGAUCGUAAAACUCUGUUAUUAGGGAAGAACAAAUGUGUAAGUAACUAUGCACGUCUUGACGGUACCUAAUCAGAAAGCCACGGCUAACUACGUG
This 497-nucleotide ribosomal RNA is filed under the name uncultured bacterium. Its description in RNAcentral is "partial 16S ribosomal RNA". It matches the Rfam family "Bacterial small subunit ribosomal RNA", at positions 28 to 507 of the family's 1533-position model. The record is from RNAcentral.